Molecule: long non-coding RNA, 544 nt
Filed under: Physcomitrium patens
Lineage: Eukaryota; Viridiplantae; Streptophyta; Bryopsida; Funariales; Funariaceae
Description: long non-coding RNA (PPAT_LNC011497)
Source: RNAcentral
UUCAUAUCUCAUAAACUAAGUAUUUAAAUGCCACAAAAUUUAUAUGAAUAGCUUUUUAAUACAAUAAUCUAUCUCUUCCAAAAGGUUUGAGCUAAAAAUUCGUCCAAAAACUCAAAAUAUGGCUCCAACCAUUACUAUGAAUAAAUCAAUUAUUUAUUGCCUUUGAUUUGGAUGUGUUGACUUCAACCCUCUAUAACUUCUUCAUCCAAACUCCAAAUUCAUCAAAAAGUAUAUGAAAAGUGUGGUCAAAGAAGUGCUCUCUCUAAUUUCAAUUACCGAUCCUUUGUUGCUUUCUAUAAAAGUAUGUUAUGCUCAAAGAGUGACAGUAGAUAUGAAAUUGACAUCCUAACUUUGAGUACCAAUAAUUCCUUCAUAAAAACUCCAAAUCAUACAAAAUUUAUACCUAAUCCAUAUCCAAAAAUCUAAACUUACUGAUCUUAGCCUCCAAAGCUCAAAUGACUUCAAAAGAGAAACCCUAAUCCCUAAUAAGGCCUCAAGCAGCCUCCUUGAAGUCCAUUAAGCAUGGCCUUUGACCAAUAGGAAU